RNAcentral lists this ribosomal RNA (215 nucleotides) under Zonitis vittigera vittigera. RNAcentral's name for it is "partial large subunit ribosomal RNA". The record is from RNAcentral. Lineage: Eukaryota; Metazoa; Arthropoda; Insecta; Coleoptera; Meloidae.
UUUGUUGGGGUGACAAUGGAAUUUAAUAAACUUCUUUUUUAUAAUCAUUGAUUUAUGAAUAAAUGAUCCUAAUUUUUAGAUUAAAAGAAUAAAUUACCUUAGGGAUAACAGCGUAAUUUUUUUGGAGAGUUCUUAUCGAUAAAAGAGAUUGCGACCUCGAUGUUGGAUUAAAGUUUAAUAUUGGCGAAGAAGCUAGUAUAUUAAGACUGUUCGAC